UAGGGGCUAUGUGCACAUAGAUGAAGAUGU
This 30-nucleotide non-coding RNA is filed under the name Rattus norvegicus (Norway rat). Lineage: Eukaryota; Metazoa; Chordata; Mammalia; Rodentia; Muridae. The record is from RNAcentral.